This 73-nucleotide transfer RNA is filed under the name Chelatococcus reniformis. Its description in RNAcentral is "tRNA-Ser". Lineage: Bacteria; Pseudomonadati; Pseudomonadota; Alphaproteobacteria; Hyphomicrobiales; Chelatococcaceae. The record is from RNAcentral.
CGACGCGCCGGUCAGGAGACCCCGCGCCUGGAGGGUGCGCCGCAGCCACCGUGCGAGGUCGGCGCGCGUCGGC